Non-coding RNA from Taeniopygia guttata (zebra finch), 5866 nucleotides. The record is from RefSeq and is a predicted model, not a curated record. NCBI's taxonomy places the organism in Eukaryota, Metazoa, Chordata, Aves, Passeriformes, Estrildidae.
AUAUAUAUAUAUAUGAUAGAGAAGAUAAAAAUUUUAUCUAAAUAGGCAAUGUAUGGAUGAGAUAAAAGAAAAGAGCGUUUGUAUGAAGCAAAUGAAGGAACUGCUCUGUUCUAACAGUAAAGAUUGAGGAGUACUCUUUUUCGGGUGGUGGGUUGUCUUCCUUCGGGAUUUUUUUGGUAUUUGUUUAUGUAUUUGGCAACUUGCUACACUGAGGAUUCUGUAUUUGUAAUAAGUAAAUAUGGAAAGGCUACACCACUGCAGGGAGUACUUCAGAAGCUUCAAAAGCAGGAGUUUGCUUUGUUGAUUUUGGCAGUGUGAUGUUGAGAGCAUGGAAAUCGUAAUUGCUGCUAAAUCUGGGGAAACUGUCACAAGCCACUUCAUGUGUUCACUAUCUCCUGUUACGUUCCAUCUACCACAGAUUCAAAAUUGUUCUUCUCUGUGCUGCUGUUAAUGAAAAGUAAUACUUUGUCAUCAAACUAAAAGGAGAAUCAAAUAAAUAAACUUUUCUUAACUUUGGUAUUUAGUAAUCAUGCUUUUAGCUGUAAGAAUUAUUAAAAUGAGCUUUUGCAUUGUCAUUUGAGAUUCUAGUCUGUUAUAACUAAAAUCUUGCUAUAGAGUAUAUAUUUGAUAUUGUUACUAUGUAUUAUGGUAUAUUUCUACAAUUUACCUGUUGUCACAUCUUGAAUAUAUUACUCAUUUUUCAGGUGAAUAGAAAACCAAAAUCCAAGGACUAAAUUCAAGUGUUUGCUAACUGAGACAGCAGUUUUCAGAAUAAGAGCAUAUGACAAAAAAUACAUUCAUCCUGAGUCUGGCUAACUUGAGAGGAAUGAAAGGAAAUUUAAAGAAAAAUUCCUAGAAGACUAAAUGAUAAUAAUUAAUUUCUACAAGCAGUAAGACUUAAGGAAGUAAAUGGAGUUUUCUUCUUUAGGCUUGGGUUUCUUGAUGCAUGAUGCAUAGAUGUUAGAAUUAAAAUUAUUUUAAUUCCAGUGUAAAUUUAAAAAAAUGGUGAUUUAAAUUCGCCUUUUUUUAAUCCUUAGGAAGGAUGUUUUAACUGAAAAACUAUUGUUCAGGCUAUAUUAAAAGAAAUGUGUGUAUAUGCAUAAAUACAUACAUUUAUAUCCUUUCUUUGCAAGUAUAGGAAGGUAUGGAGAGUUCAUGGAGCCCAAGAAAGUGAAGAAGUAUCCUGAUCAAGUCCUGUCCGGGAAUUCUGCAGUGACGCCAGCUUCCCAAUCCUGGUCAGGCUGAAACAGAAUUUUGGAACCCAUCCUAAACUAAGAUGAAACAAGUUAGGGUUGCCCUCCUGGCCUGCCCUGAAGAUGUGUUGAGGAUGUUGCAGUGCCCGGAAACUGCACUCUCUGGGACUGGUGGAAAAGGACUCCAGCAUAACGUUCCCAGCUGUAAUCAUGCAGUCAGGGGCUGUUCUGACCUUGAUUUCCUGGAGCAGGAAGCCAUCCUGCGUUCAGGUACGGACGGGGUUUGGGGUUUGGCCGCUUUCGGUCGUGUCGCUUCAGGCUGCAGUGGCUCCCCUGCCCUGGGGUCCUGGCACUGCUGCUCUGCCUCCAACACCCUCCCUGCUCAGCCACAAGGGACCAGCUCUCUGCUUUUCUGCAGUUUGUCCUGUUUGUAUCUGGCCAACAAGAGUGCUCUGUAACUGGUGAGUAAUUCAGCGGCUGACCUCUCUGGGAUGCCUGGAAUUCCUGACUCUUGAGUCAUCCUGCAUUUUGCCCUUGGAGGCAGUUUGUAGCUCUUCUCUCAGUCUUAAUUUAUUUUUUUUCCCCUGUCCCCUAGAAACAAACACCUUUGCUCCUUCCUUUCAUACUAUGUCCGUGGUCCAACUUUCAUUCCCUCUAAGAAUUUUUCAGCUAAGCCUUAAAAUUUCUGCCCUGCUUUGCUGUAAAAGAAACUGUGUUGCUGUAAGAAGAUAGUUGUGUCCAUCUUCAUUAUUGCUACUUUCUACUGCCAAAGCAAACUGUUCUGGAUUACCGCUUUUGAAUUACGAGGUGAAAGAGCCAUGCUAGUUUAGUGUGAAAUUCUGUCUAGUGUUUACAUAAUUUAUUUACCAUCAGGACUUUAAUGUGCUCUGUAAAUUUGGAGUCGCAAAUGCACUAAUGAAUACUGUUCUGCUUUCAAAAGGUGUGAGAGUGACAAAGGACCUCUCAGUGCUCUGAAAAUGAUCAUAAAUAGUCUGUCAUCUUAUGCACUCCCAUUGUGUUUGUUCUGCUCUUGUAUCAAAGUGCAGGGGAAGAGGAGCUAAUGUGCCAAAUUGCAGAAGAUGAAGGCAGAUAUGUUGCUGUAGCUCACAGCUAAAAAUGAACUGUCAGACUAAGAAGUACUUCCUAAUAUUUGGACUUCUACUAAAGUUUGUUUGUUUUUUAUAGAGGGUAGAAAUGCCUCUUUCAGAGCCAUCACUUUAAAGACUUCUGUUCCCAGCACUGACUAAAUUAUAUGGCAUGCUAAUUCUCUGUCUCCUUUGCUUACACCUGGAGGAGAAGCCAUGUGUAGUAAGUUUCCACAAGCCAAUUUACUUGAUGUGAAAGCUGAACAUUUUGAGACUAGAAUAUAGUACUCGAUGCUAGAUGUGCUUAUCUCUUCAGUAUCAUACCCUUCCCUACCCACAAGUAUCUUUACAUAUGUUAUUUAAAAAAAUGCACAGGAUUGCUAGCUUUUUACAGAUUUUUAGUAGGCAACUUCAUCCAUUUUUACUCUUACUGAAAGAAAACGUAUUCUGUUUAUCAUUCUCCUCUGUACAAGGUCAAUUACAUGCAAAGAUAUUUAUGCAGUGAUUCAAGUAAGUAUUGAUUCUCUCAUCAGUGGAAUCUGUGGUCAUAUUAGACAUGUCAGGUCAUAAAAAGCAACCAUUUUAGUUUGCAUUAGAUGGCUAAUUGCUUUUAUGUGCUUCUCCUUCAAGAAAAAAUGGCUUGUCAAACUCCUAAUGGAAUAAUCUUAUAUUUUUUUAUGAAUGUGAUAGUUACAUUAUUUGGUCUUACUAUUUGUACAUCACAUUGCGUAGAAACUUCUGGGCAGAGUACUGGACUGCAGACCUUAUUGUGGGGCCUUGGCCAUGUGUGAAAUGACAUGUUGUUACCAGGGAGCCACGGAUUCCAGUGGCAGCUCCCCACAAUAGGGGUCUGCCUAUUUGCAGUGUGGGUACAUACUUUUGACUGGAGUCAGAAUUAAUCCAAUUUUCAAAGGAUUAUGUAAAUUUAUUGGAAGUUAUUAGGAUAGUUAUUAGGCUUCAUUAAGAAAAUUUAAAAGAUUAGAUUAUUUCUGUUGCUGAUUUUCAGUUUGGACCAUGGCCUCUAUCAUAAAAUAGAAACCAUCACAUUUGUUUUCUACAUAUUAUGGGGGGGAAAAAAAAAGACUGUAAUGUUUUUUGUUUUCCAGUGUUAUGCCAAUUUUGUGGUAACUACAGAAAGUUUUAGCUAUUUUGCUAACGUGCUGCUGUUCUUGCCUCCAGCUUCUGAAGACUAUGACCCCAUAAACCUCCUGUCUGCAGAGAUAGCUAAUGCUUUAAUUGAUCAUUAGUACACUUUCAAAAUGAGUUUCCAUCUGCCAAAAGAUUAAGUGUCUCAGGGAAUUGACUGAGAGCAGUUUGAUGCAUGGAGGAUAAAUGCAAGUGCCUUUAAAAAGCACUGCUAGAUCACAAAUCCUUGAAAAACUUGGUUCUAAAAUACUUAAAAGGAAAAGUAAUAGCAAAGGUUUUUCCUCUGCUUUGUUUUUCCCUCAAAUUAAGUAUUUUUUUAUAUAUCACUGAGAAUUUGUUGCCUCAUUUUCAAGAACUGAAAAGCAAAACCUCAUGAAAAUGCUGAAUUUAACCUUAGAGCAAAGCCUGCAAUUUUUGGCAGCUUUAAUUUGCAAUGUAAAUUUUUUGUUAAAUGAGUUUAUUUCAACUGUAAAAAAACACAGGAGAAAAAAAAAAAAGAAAACUUUUCCACUAGCUGUACUUAAGAAUACUAGGAGAAAAAUACUUCUCUGUUUUAUCAUGUAUUUUCACAUUUACUGGGAUUGCUUCUCUUUCUGUUUCCUUCAAGAUUUUACCUUAGUUUAUUUGGAGACAUUUUUACAAGUUUCCUGUUGGUUUCUCUCUGCCAUUUUUUGUACAAGCUGCUUUGGGUAAGACUUCGACCACUGCAGUAACACUUACAGUUGUUUUUAGAGAAAUGGUAGCUUCUUUCUCAGGUCUCUGGAAAAGCAUUGCUAUUAACUUGGGUAAGGACAGUUCUGACAAUGCCAUUCUGGCUGCAUUAGAGCUGGCAGCAGUGUGGUAUCAGAAAAUAGGGGCACUGCAGCUGUCCUGCAGCAGUGACAAAAGGCAGAGGUGGUCAGCUGUCACCUUCCUGUGGUUAUGGGUUCCUCAUUCCUCAUGUGGUCUUGUCCAUUCCAAAUGGGCACCUGCAGUGACUUUAGACUUCCUAGUGUCCUUAAAUGCCUUCUGCAGUAUGUGCUUUUAGCACUGCCUGCAGUUACGAUCGAGGAGGUGGCAAAGGGCCUGGCAUGGAACUGAUGGUAAAAAGAUACAGAUGGAUAUUCCAAAUUUACUUUUUUCCAAAUGUCUGUCUACUCUUCCUCUGAUUUGCCACUCAGGUUACGGCAAAACUGGUCUAAAUGCACCAUUUUGUGUAUAUUCACUAGUGGUUGUUGAAACAACACCCAAUUGAGGCUGUAAUUACAGUGAGUGGAAGGCAAAGGAUACUGCUUUUGCAAAUAACCCUUAUUUGAUUAAUAAGAUUAAUCUAACCUAUGUACGAAGGGUUGCAAUCUGUUUGUCUUGUCAGGCAAAGUGGAAGAUACUGGUGGCACAAUUGUUCUGUGACAGGAUCUUGGAGCUGGUUUAAUAUAGGCUGACUAAAAAGUGAAACUUUUUUUUAAACUUUAUUUGCCACAUGUUGAUGGGGAAGUAUCCAUUUAGAGAAUAUGGCUAAAAUUCUAUCAAACACUUCAAUGCUUGAAGAAAUAAAGAGGGGAAAUAAGAUCUUGACUUUCAAUUUUAUAAUAAUGCAAUAUGAAGGCCAGAUUGUAACUGUAGAUGUUCAUUUCAAAUUUAAAUAUUUAGCAUUUUCAGUUGUCUGUGAAUACAUGAAAAUUUAUUACAUUAAGAUGGAAUUUAGAUCUUUGACAUGAAGCUGAUAUUUUCAUAGAGUGAAAAAUAUCAAGCUGACAUUAUACUGUCUCAUUUGAUGACUUCCAAAUGUCAGAGUGCAGUAACUUAUUCAUAGGGACCACCAUGUCUUGUGAUAGUGUCAAUUCAAAAGACAUUUACAUCGACUUUUUUAUUUAAACAGGUAAAAUGGAAUAUGUAGAGUGGCAGAGGAGAAGGGGGAAAGACCAGGGCAAGGAAGUUCUUAAUAAUGGAAUGGAGGCACUUCUAAGGCUAAUUUCCACCACAGCCUUCUUCCUGACAGCAGCCUGGCUGUGCUGCUCCCUCCCAGCAUCUUCCUCCUCCCCUGCUCAGCCCGCUCUUAGUUCUUGUCAUUUCAACACAACUUAGGGGGUUAGAAAUAGCAGGAUAUACUCUCCUAAGAAGUACCCCCUCCUCCCCUCACCCCCGCCAGCCCUUGCUUUUAAAAGUGAUUUUGUAAUAAUGGGACAUACUGGAUGAUUUUGCCUGGGAGUUUAUAUGCCUAUAUAACUUAGAUCAAAAUUACAAUGUGCUUAUAUAGCUUGAGUUACAAGAUACCAGUAUAGCCUGAUGUAUCUAUAUAACCUGAUAUCAAUAUAACUUAAAGAAUGACUUUUUAUAUAUCUAUAUAACCUGACAUCUAGAUAACCUGAAUCAGUUUUUUAUACCUAUAUAACCUGAUAUAAAUAACUUUUUAUACAAUGUAAUAUCUAGUAUAUGGUUAACUAGUUGCUUAAUGCUGAAUAG